UUUCUUCUGCUGAAAAGGCUAGGUUUCAAAUUUAAGAAAAACUUUCCUCCCUGGUUUUCUCAAAAGCUGAAAAGAUGAUUUGAAGUAGAAGGUUCUCUCCUAGUUUUCUUUGCUUAAAAUCUCUGGGUUUCUCAGGCUGAACUUGGGUGUGAUUUGGUUGUGGUUUGCUAUUUGCUGCUGCUCAUUAUCUUGGGUGAAAGCUCAACUAUUAUAGUGACCUUUAUUUGGUCUUUCUUUGAAUUAUCUAUAGGCAUGGACCCACUCUAACUAUGAGAAUGAACUUUUUUUGUGAGAAUCUGAAGUUAUUCAUGACUGUGUGUGUAUGGUUGUAUGCUUCAACAAUAGAACUUCAUGUGUUUACAUUGUUCUUCAUUAGUUGUUUAUAUGUCUUUAUAUGCAUUUCAGUAUGUAGGAAAAUGUUGUUGAAAUAACACAAAUAGUUGUUUCUCAUAACGACAUUUAGGUUCAGUUUUGUUUAUGAUGCUUCCC
RNAcentral lists this long non-coding RNA (489 nucleotides) under Nicotiana benthamiana. RNAcentral's name for it is "long non-coding RNA (NBEN_LNC032694)". Lineage: Eukaryota; Viridiplantae; Streptophyta; Magnoliopsida; Solanales; Solanaceae. The record is from RNAcentral.